AUGAUUUCUAAGAGACCCUGGAAAGAAAUAUUGCUGCUAAUGAACUGAGGUGACAUAGGACAAUGCAGAGUUGAAGAGAGGAUAAUUUCUCCUUGUCUGCACAGAACGCAGCACACCUUCAGCCCUUCAAAGACGGGCAGCUUUGGCUGCACCCCUGGGCAGUUCCCUGGGUAUGCACAUUGAUGCAAUUAUAAUGUCCUCGCUAUGAGAUUUCCCACCACCCACGCUGGUGUUCACAUCUAGCGGCAUCACAGAGAGGUAGAACUAAAGGGAAGAAGUUGAUGGAUGCCAUCUGGUAUUGCAGAUGAUGACAGGUUUUCUCAGCUAUGAAGAGGAAAACUAACAGAUUCCUGAGUCAGCAACACAACCUGCUUGAGAAUGAGGACAACACAGAACAGAGCAUAACUGAGACAUGGGAAAAAUAGCUUUCAGAUCUAUAAAAAAGAAGAGGAAACAUACAUGGUUUAAGGAAUAAGCAGUAAAAAGUAAGAAAUCGGCUGAUCCUGGGAAGAACUGAAGACCACUUAAAAUUAAAUCUACAUGACUCUACAUCUGGGAUGCUGGAUUUCCUCACAGCCUUAGAGAGAAGUUGAGAACCAAACAAGUACUGCAGGAACAUAGAAUUAACAAGCAAAAAUCCAGAAGGCAGCAAAAACCAAGCAGUGUGGCCGAAUCAUUAGACCGGCGAGAGGUGAGAAGAAACAUACGAAAAAGGAAAAAAGAGGGGAAAAGACUGGAAACAUUAAUUGGGGUCAUAUUGAUAUCAUAUUGAGAAGUUUGAACAUUUUCCUAUAAACAUUGGUUCCCAAAUUAUUCAUAAAUUAGGAGCCCUUUUUUCCCAUCAGAAAUAAUUGUGAGCUUAGUGUGCUUAUAUUGCUCGGGCAGCAUCCUCCCCUUUGGGUAGCUAACCUUUCCACUUUCUAUUGGAAAAACCAAGCGACUUCAUUCCUCCCAUCCCUAAUUACCAACCCCAGUAUAUAUUCCAUGAUUAAAAAAGUAAACCAGACCCUUCUCUAGGCCUUUCCUUUUUUCUUUUCUUUUUUUUUUUUUUUCAAGCUGGAGCAGUAGUGAGGAAAAGUGCUCUCUUAAACUUGAAUUAGAAGCUAUAAGGACAAUGUAAGCUGGAACUCUUUGCAACCAUAUUUCCAACCAUAUAAAGAAAGCCUUCUACACUAGGCCAGUGAAGACUGAGAAGCAGAGCUCAAAUAA
Homo sapiens (human) is the source of this 1209-nucleotide long non-coding RNA. RefSeq lists it as uncharacterized. NCBI's taxonomy places the organism in Eukaryota, Metazoa, Chordata, Mammalia, Primates, Hominidae. The record is from RefSeq and is a predicted model, not a curated record. The transcript is spliced from 5 exons.